Molecule: ribosomal RNA, 395 nt
Filed under: uncultured bacterium
Lineage: Bacteria
Description: bacterial SSU rRNA
Rfam family: Bacterial small subunit ribosomal RNA
Source: RNAcentral
GACGAACGCUGGCGGCGUGCCUAACACAUGCAAGUCGAGCGGAAAGGCCCCUUCGGGGGUACUCGAGCGGCGAACGGGUGAGUAACACGUGGGUAAUCUGCCCAGGACACAGGAAUAACCAGUGGAAACGCUGGCUAAUGCCUGAUGAAGUGCAGACCUCUUGGGGUUCUGUACCAAAGGUAGCUUCGGCCUCCGGUCCUGGAUGAGCCCGCGGCCCAUUAGCUUGUCGGCGGGGUAACGGCCCACCAAGGCGACGAUGGGUAGCUGGUCUGAGAGGACGAUCAGCCACACUGGGACUGAGACACGGCCCAGACUCCUACGGGAGGCAGCAGUGGGGAAUCUUGCGCAAUGGGCGAAAGCCUGACGCAGCAACGCCGCGUGCGGGAGGAAGGCCU